Molecule: unclassified non-coding RNA, 460 nt
Filed under: Hevea brasiliensis (rubber tree)
Lineage: Eukaryota; Viridiplantae; Streptophyta; Magnoliopsida; Malpighiales; Euphorbiaceae
Source: RNAcentral
AAAUUAAGAAAGAAACCACGAGAAAAGAGCCCAAACCAUAUCGUCUACUCUUGGCAGCAUAUCAAAAAGACAAAAUCAAGGGUAGCACAGUCGCUUGUUGGACUUCAUGGAUUCGCAGGUUAGCGGUCUCAUCAAUAAUCACACUUAAAGGAGUUACUUUUGUGUUAGCUAUAAAGUUGGCUCCAGAAGACGUACACCCUUACUUUAAAGGCAAAACAAAGAAUCAACCCAAAACCUCACUCUUCAUGCAUAAAAACAGAGGCCACAGCAUAUCCCGUUCCCUUCCCCUCUUGCCAGAGACUAUAGAUAGAAAUAUUACAGAUUUGAAGGUCCUAGCAUAUCUUCAGAUAUACUGACCCUAUUCCUCAUCAUUUUGGCUUUCAUCUUUGACAAGCUUGAUCAUGUCAUCAAUUCGAAGAAUAGUUAUGGCAGCUUCAGUGGCAAACUGAAUUAUCUUCAC